GACGAACGCUGGCGGCGUGCUUAACACAUGCAAGUCGAACGGAAAGGCCCUGCUUUUGUGGGGUGCUCGAGUGGCGAACGGGUGAGUAACACGUGAGUAACCUGCCCUUGACUUUGGGAUAACUUCAGGAAACUGGGGCUAAUACCGGAUAGGAGCUCCUGCUGCAUGGUGGGGGUUGGAAAGUUUCGGCGGUUGGGGAUGGACUCGGGGCUUAUCAGCUUGUUGGUGGGGUAGUGGCUUACCAAGGCUUUGACGGGUAGCCGGGCUGAGAGGGGGGCCGGAUAAACUGGGACGGGGAUGCGGCCCGGACCCGUCUGCGAGGCGGGAGAGCAGUAGAGAGUACUAGGCACGGAGGCCAAACGUAGUCAAGCCGUGCGGCGUGAGUGAGGAAGCGCUUAGGAUUGCACAGUUGCCUCUGAUGGGGAGAUAAUGACGGUAAUAGGAAAAGAAGCACCGGCUAACUACGUG
RNAcentral lists this ribosomal RNA (468 nucleotides) under uncultured bacterium. RNAcentral describes it as "partial 16S ribosomal RNA". It matches the Rfam family "Bacterial small subunit ribosomal RNA", at positions 28 to 507 of the family's 1533-position model. The record is from RNAcentral.